This is a long non-coding RNA of Pangasianodon hypophthalmus (striped catfish), 2616 nucleotides long. RefSeq lists it as uncharacterized. The record is from RefSeq and is a predicted model, not a curated record. The transcript is spliced from 3 exons. Lineage: Eukaryota; Metazoa; Chordata; Actinopteri; Siluriformes; Pangasiidae.
CUCUAUGCUUUUAUGUAACAGUGUAGACAUGUAUAUUUUGAUGGAUUUGGGAUGUGGCAAACAACAAUUCCUCAGUUUCCUGAGUAUGUGUAAUCAAACAAAGCUGAUAUGAUCAUAUUUGAGUUUGGAGUAUUGGGGAUAAGAGGGCACAACUAUGUGCUGUUCCAUCUGUGUGAGGACUGAGUGCAGGCAUUAGCUGUCAGUGAGAUGGAGUGUUGCUUGGGACUUUCAGAUUGUAUCAGCAUUUCCCAAAGGGACGCACAUGCCCAGUGGGCAUCAUCGCAAUUAUCAUCAUACUCAUCAACACCACUGUCAUCAGUGUCAGUGGAAAAUAUUACAGGGCAGUAGUUUGAUUAAAAGUGGUCUGGCAAGGUGUUGCUCAUGAUCUUCAAUCAUCAUCAGCUUCUCCGUUUCCCUCAGCUUCACUGGCAUCUCUCUGGAGUUUUCCCCAGCAGUGCAAGGCGACUUCUCUCCCACUGAUCAAUGCUACUGUUAAAAUGAGUGUGGGGGAGAGGGGAGUGUGCCAAGAUGAUCCCUGGAAGCUAGAAAAGAUGCCUAUGGACCUGCCUCCAUUCCUCUCUCUGUCGGUCAGGCUGUAUCUCCCCUGGACUACCCUGCUUGGGCUCCUGCUGCUAGGUAGCUAUUAACACCCAGGCACUCAGCAGGGUGUUCAGUUUAAAAAACAAAGUCGGACGCUUCUAUACUGUAUCAAAUUGACAGCUGAUUAGGUCGUCCAUCUCCUCUCAUGCUAGAAUCCAUCUCCAUAAAGCAAUACCUUUUGUCAACAGCACAGUGCAAGCACUGACCACUGCAUCAUAUUUUACCAGCCCUAUUCAUUGUCCUAUUCAUUGUGUUUUGUUGACUCCCUCCCUCUCUCUCGCUCUCGCUCUCGCUCUCUCUCUCGCUGCUCCCUGCAGGGAUCUAUGAUGGUGACCUGCAUAACAAACAGAAGUGUCAGUGGGCAGGCCUCAUUGCAUACUGGACUGAGGUUGUGACAGGCCCUUACCAGGCAGAAUUUCAUGCACCAGUGGACACCAUUUUCCAUCCUACAGUAGAAAUUGAUACACAGAUGCCUAUGGUUCCCUCUUAUCUUCAGGCACUUCUCCUAUGAUCCUGAGAGUCUCCAUAAUGAUAAUGUCUCCCUUCUAAAAUGCAGCUGCCGGGUUGCCUGGAAACCCCUAAUCAGUAGACUCCUGGCCAAGAAGACACUGCUGCCAUAUAAACCCAGAAAGAGUCACUUCUAGUCAACUCUGCAAGAACUCCAGCUCUUGAAUUUGUCCCAUGACAAAUGCCAGCUCUUCUAAUCUGCAUUAAAUUGCAGUAAAGGCACUCACUAUUUCUCUUCCAUGGGACUGAUCUGCCAAUUCAUCCACCCGCUUCACUUGCUGAUGCUGCAAGGCAAAGGAGCUAUUUUUUUCUUUCCAGCAGGCUCUGCUGGUGUAUCAGCUUCUUGCUGUGAUCACACAGCGCAGCAAAAUAUUAAUUAAGCUAUCCUUAUGUACAGUAAUCCACGAUUCUCUUUCGGAAAAAUGAUUGAUUUCAGUUUCUCAGUUGAAUAUGCAUAUCAUGUAGUGUUUACAUAUAAAAUGCGACUAUCUUCAAGAUUGUUAGACUCUUCUGAGAAAAACAAGCCUAUUUACAUGGUGUUUGGAUCACUAUUGUCUGUGUCUAACCAAACACAUCCAACCAUAUCUGAGUUACUCUGGACAAUCUAAAAUAUCCCUUCACUGUCACUCUCACACUCCUGUUUUAUUUACUUUCUCAUGCUCUGUCUCCUGAUUGGCUGCAGCUCCUGCCAGUUACCAUAUAGCAGGACUUCUUUCAUGCCUGAACUUGGGGCAUGAUAACUUUGGACAUAUCUGAACUGCCAUAUAACAUCCCUGCCAUGACCUGACAUCCCUGACACAGCAGUGAUUGUGAAUUACUACCACAGGAAUGUCAGGUGACUCACAGCAACUCGGGAACAAUGCAUUUUACUUCAUAACAUCAACUCAAUAAUCAACCAUUUUGCUCUUUCUUUCUUUCAAGAAAAAUCCUGUAGGCAUUUCCCAUUCUCCUGAAGGGUCCCUAUAGUGCUAGAGUUGACAUUAUUUUCAAAAAAUAAAAACAAUGUUAGUAUCGUCCAGCCAACAGUAAUUCAACCACUUGCAGUCUUAUUAAGAAAGGAGGAGAAACAAUUUCUCUCUUGCUCUCUCGCCAUUUAUAAGUGACUUCCAUCUGUUUUCACUUUAGCAAUAAAACUUGUUUUAUGUGCUUGUGUAUGUGUGUGUGUAUGCGUGUGCGUGAGAGAGUGAAGCCUCCUGUGCCAGUUCAAAUCUAUCCAAGCCAUUCUUGUUUAUUUUCCAUGAGUUUUAGCACUGCUGUUAAUGUGGCCAAACAGAUUCCAUAGAAUUUUCUGAGAUGGGAAAUGUUAGGAUGCUAAUCUGAACCAUAGGAAAUUCACUAAAUCAUGUCAUGCUAAAUUAUGUCUCUGAAAUGGUAAAAAAUAAAUAAAUAAAUGAAUGACUCCUUCAUUUUCUCAGUUUCCCACUUAUCAUUUAAUAGCAACUUUGGCUGUGGAUGGUUUGGCAUUGUAAAUAGUUCCAUAUGCUAGUCUAAGGGCAGAGUUUCUGUAAU